AUUUCUCAUACUCAUCUGGGUUUGAAGGAACCAAUGUAAGGUAUUCAGCGGGAAUUAUUUGGUCUGUGUCAAUAUUAUCACCAACAACGUAACAAAGGCCAUGAAAGGUUGUAGUCGAGGUGUCAGAAGGAAUGGAAGAGGGUGUGGAGGUGGCAUGUGGCGCAAUGGUGAUCGCACGUGCUCCAUGUGGGGUGAAGCUAGAAUUUAGGGGUUUGACAGUCAAAGGCAAGAAGGUGGGAACUUUGAUGGAAUGAGGGGAGAGAGAAGGUCCGGAGACUGUGGUUUUUGAUGCUGAAGAGGUGAAGGUGGCUGAGUAUGAAACAUGAGACAAAGAGACAGCCAUUAUUAGAUUAAUACGUCUGAUACAAAGGCAGC
Molecule: long non-coding RNA, 375 nt
Filed under: Gossypium raimondii (Peruvian cotton)
Lineage: Eukaryota; Viridiplantae; Streptophyta; Magnoliopsida; Malvales; Malvaceae
Description: long non-coding RNA (GRAI_LNC010148)
Source: RNAcentral